GCCGUGAUCGUAUAGUGGUUAGUACCUUGCGUUGUGGCCGCAAUAAGCCAGUUUCGAAUCCUGGUCACGGCA
This 72-nucleotide transfer RNA is filed under the name Ixodes scapularis (black-legged tick). RNAcentral describes it as "tRNA-His for anticodon GUG". It matches the Rfam family "tRNA". Rfam says of the family: Transfer RNA (tRNA) molecules are approximately 80 nucleotides in length. Their secondary structure includes four short double-helical elements and three loops (D, anti-codon, and T loops). Lineage: Eukaryota; Metazoa; Arthropoda; Arachnida; Ixodida; Ixodidae. The record is from RNAcentral.